RNAcentral lists this ribosomal RNA (1399 nucleotides) under human gut metagenome. RNAcentral's name for it is "bacterial LSU rRNA". It matches the Rfam family "Bacterial large subunit ribosomal RNA", at positions 1492 to 2867 of the family's 2925-position model. The record is from RNAcentral.
GCGGAGGUGGUCUUCCGUGGUCAAGCACGCAGGGCGUGGGACAGGCAAAUCCGUCCCGCAUGGGUCCGAGGUGCGAUGAUGGGGGCCUUAUGGCCCGAUAUCCGGUGAUCCCGGCUGCCGAGAAAAGCUUCGGCGUCAGGCUCAAAGCCGCCCGUACCCCAAACCGACACUGGUGGUCAGGUAGAGAAUACCAAAGCGAUCGAGCGAAUCCUGGUCAAGGAACUCGGCAAAUCACUCCCGUUCCUUCGGUUUAAGGGAGACCCCCGAUGGUGAACACACUUGCUGUGGGAGCUUUUGGGGGUGGCACAGACCAGGGGGUAGCGACUGUUUACCAAAAACACAGGUGCAUGCGAAGGCGCAAGCCGCUGUAUAUGCACUGACGCCUGCCCGGUGCCGGAAGGUUAAGAGGAUCCGUCAGCCUUCGGGUGAAGCGGUGAAUUCAAGCCCCGGUAAACGGCGGUGGUAACUAUAACCAUCCUAAGGUAGCGAAAUUCCUUGUCGGGUAAGUUCCGACCUGCACGAAUGGCGUAACGACUUCCCCACUGUCUCGACCAGGAGCUCGGCGAAAUUGCAGUACGAGUAAAGAUGCUCGUUAAGCGCAGAAGGACGAAAAGACCCCGGGACCUUUACUAUACCUUGGUAUUGGCAUUCGGUGUGGAUUGUGUAGCAUAGGCGGGAGGCCGAGAGGCGCGGUCGCCAGAUCGCGCGGAGCCGUAAGGUGAAAUACCGCUCUGUUCGCAUUGGAUGUCUAACCUCGAACAGUCAUCCUGUUCAGGGACAGUGCCUGGCGGGUAGUUUAACUGGGGCGGUUGCCUCCCAAAGAGUAACGGAGGCGCUCAAAGGUCCGCUCGGCCCGGUUGGCAAUCGGGUGUCGAGUGUAAUCGCACAAGCGGGCUUGACUGCGAGAUCGACGGAUCGAGCAGGGACGAAAGUCGGAGAUAGUGAUCCGGUGCCGGCGCACGGGCGCGGCAUCGCUCAACGGAUAAAAGGUACCCCGGGGAUAACAGGCUGAUCAUUCCCAAGAGUCCAUAUCGACGGGAUGGUUUGGCACCUCGAUGUCGGCUCGUCGCAUCCUGGGGCUGGAGCAGGUCCCAAGGGUUCGGCUGUUCGCCGAUCAAAGCGGCACGCGAGCUGGGUUCAGAACGUCGUGAGACAGUUUGGUCUCUAUCCUCUGCGCUCGUUGGAAUCUUGAGGAGGCCUGCCCAUAGUACGAGAGGACCUGGGUGGACGAACCUCUGGUAUGCCGGUCGUCACGCCAGUGGCGCGGCCGGUUGGCUACGUUCGGAAGGGAUAACCGCUGAAAGCAUCUAAGCGGGAAGCCUGCUCCAAGAUAAGCAUUCCGUGGAACCUUCGAGUUCCUGUAGUCCCCAUGCAGAACACGUGGUCGAUAGGCCGGACG